This 254-nucleotide ribosomal RNA is filed under the name uncultured bacterium. RNAcentral's name for it is "partial 16S ribosomal RNA". It matches the Rfam family "Bacterial small subunit ribosomal RNA", at positions 524 to 776 of the family's 1533-position model. The record is from RNAcentral.
UACGGGGGGAGCAAGCGUUGUUCGGAUUUACUGGGCGUAAAGGGCGCGUAGGCGGCCUCUGCAAGUCGACUGUGAAAUCUCCGGGCUUAACCCGGAAAGGUCAGCCGAUACUGCAGGGCUAGAGUGCAGAAGGGGCAACUGGAAUUCUCGGUGUAGCGGUGAAAUGCGUAGAUAUCUGAAGGAACAUCAGUGGCGAAAGCGACUUCCUGGACCAAUACUGACGCUCAUGUGCGAAAGCGUGGGGAGCAAACAGG